This 513-nucleotide ribosomal RNA is filed under the name uncultured Aquabacterium sp. RNAcentral describes it as "bacterial SSU rRNA". It matches the Rfam family "Bacterial small subunit ribosomal RNA", at positions 371 to 877 of the family's 1533-position model. The record is from RNAcentral. Lineage: Bacteria; Pseudomonadati; Pseudomonadota; Betaproteobacteria; Burkholderiales; Sphaerotilaceae.
AUGGGCGCAAGCCUGAUCCAGCAAUGCCGCGUGCAGGAAGAAGGCCUUCGGGUUGUAAACUGCUUUUGUCAGGGAAGAAAUCCUCUGGGUUAAUACCUCGGGGGGAUGACGGUACCUGAAGAAUAAGCACCGGCUAACUACGUGCCAGCAGCCGCGGUAAUACGUAGGGUGCGAGCGUUAAUCGGAAUUACUGGGCGUAAAGCGUGCGCAGGCGGUUGUGCAAGACAGGUGUGAAAUCCCCGGGCUUAACCUGGGAACUGCACUUGUGACUGCACGGCUAGAGUACGGUAGAGGGGGAUGGAAUUCCGCGUGUAGCAGUGAAAUGCGUAGAUAUGCGGAGGAACACCGAUGGCGAAGGCAAUCCCCUGGACCUGUACUGACGCUCAUGCACGAAAGCGUGGGGAGCAAACAGGAUUAGAUACCCUGGUAGUCCACGCCCUAAACGAUGUCAACUGGUUGUUGGACGGCUUGCUGUUCAGUAACGAAGCUAACGCGUGAAGUUGACCGCCUGGG